Molecule: long non-coding RNA, 2509 nt
Organism: Herpailurus yagouaroundi (jaguarundi)
Lineage: Eukaryota; Metazoa; Chordata; Mammalia; Carnivora; Felidae
Exons: 3
Source: RefSeq, a predicted model, not a curated record
AGGAAGUACCCUGAAGGAAAUCACCGGAGCAUGGGGCAGAGAUGUGAAGACUGAAAGAGAUGUGAAGAGUGAAGAUCAGGUGGGAGGGGAGGCAUCUCUGAGGAGCUGAGUCCUGAGGGGUGAGGACAGGUGAGAAGAGCAGGUGACACAGGGAACAGCAAGCGUCAAGCCCUCGGGUGGAAAGAGCGUGACGAGCUCCACCAAGCAGAAAGGGGCCCCGGCUGCUGGAGCGAGUGGGCAGGGCCGAGGGCAGAGGAGGGCUCGAGGGAGGCCGCCCAGUCACUUACGGGCUGAGGAGCACAAGGUCAGGUUUUAUGUCAGAGUCAUGAAAAGCCACGAAGGUUUUAACAAGGCCAUGCCGUGACCUCAGUUAAGCAAGGAAGAGAAUGUAAAUAAAAAAUGCCUUUUUCCUUUCACGUUUUGCCAAGCAUCCCUGCAACUUUGUGUCCAGAUUAGCAAGAACCAAGUAUCCUUCCUCUCCUCAGGGACGUUAUCAUUUUCACAGCUGUCAGCCCAGGGCCUCCACGACUUUCUCCAGAGUCGUAUCUUAUUCCGGUGCUUUGAAUGGGGGGAGAAGGUUGUGAAAUGACACCUACUACUGGGAUUUGUGCAUAACACAGAUGAGGUCAUCAAUAGCAAUGAGAGUAGUUAAGACCACUGCUAAGUAUAACAUACAGCUGGCACCACUGUGAGCAAAACUGUGUGCCAGUCACUUUUAAAUGCUUCCGAUGCAUAUAUGAGAUAGCAUAUCAGCACUAACCCAAACCCUCGCCUUUCUUACGAGAUAGAUGCCACGAAAUCUCCCAUUUUACAGCAGGUAUAACUGAGGCUCAGAGAGGUCAAGUAACUCGCCGAAGGUCACACAGCAGGUUAAGUCCCGAGCAGAAUCUGAACUCCUACCUGGGUCCAUAGCCCGUUUUUUUUGCUGGCCUCUAGUACCUCCCAGUGAACGAAAGUGGAAAUACAGGACAAAUGCAGGAGAUGGUGAUGUUGAUAGUUACCGAGCGAUUGUCUGGGUCAAGAAACAGAGUUCAGGAAGCUGUUCUCUUUCAUCUCUCCCUAGGCAGUCAUGUCCAUGCCCUGAGCUUUCAGAACCCUCUACAUUAGCCCACACCUGUGUGCUGAGCUGCAGAUUCUCAUUCCCAACGACCUGCUGGACACUUAGAUGUCUCAUGGGCACCUGAAAGGUGACCGGUGCAAAACAGGAUCCUCACUUUACCCCAUAAACCUGUUCUUCCCCCACCCCACCAUCUUUCCAGCCUCAUAAGUGGCCCCACCACCCAGUCUUCACUGGAGCCAGGAACCUGGGAGUCACCCCUGAUUCUUCUCUCUCCCGCCCCCCCCCCCCGUUUCCAAUCUAUCACCAACUCCUGUUUAUUUCCAUGCAGAGCUUGUCCCUAAUCUAUCCACUCCCUGCGUCUUCAUUAUCAGCUCAAGGUUUCAGCACCAUUGGCUCCAGCUGGGAUUGGAAGUAGUAAUGAAAGUAAUACCAAGGCUUAUAGUUAGGAUUGGCUGUACUUUCUGGUUUGCCCGGGUCAGUCUUGAUUUUCACUAAUUGAUCCUGUUGUGGCUCAAUGAUCGCCAAUGAAUGUUUUUAGUGCCUCUCUCCCUCUCAAGAGCGUCGCAGUUUGGACCUCACGUAUAUGGUCACCCAAGCUAUGAGACCUCCGUGACCCAGCCACCCCAUGUCUUCAGCUUAUUCCCAUUAUAGAUCACCACGCCGACCACAUUAGCUCCAUCUGAGGCCACUUCAAGCGCUUGUUCCAGAGCUUGAACUCUUGGCUUGAGACAUUGGCUCAUCUUGUUCCUGCCUGUGACACUUUCCUGACCAUUUUCACACAGCUCACUUCUCAGGUCCCAGCUCAAAGGUCCCCUCCUCGUGAGGGCAGCCAUCCUCUGAAUAUGUCUCCCCUGUGCCCUGUGAGCCUCUCAUCACUUUCUUUCUUCAUCUGUUUAUUGUUUAUCUCCGUGAUUGGAAUCAAAAGCCCAUGAGGACCACCCCCUUCUUUCCCCCUGCUACAUUACUAGCAGCAAGCAUAGGGGCUGACACGUGAUGGGUGCUCAAUAGUUGUUCAAAGACUCAGUGAAUGACGGACCGGCUGGCUGGAUGAAUGGAUGGAUCCAUCAUCCUGAUCCCAGGGAAGAAGUUCACAGCACAAUAGGAUCCACUGUGACUUGAGAUUUAAGAAAGGGAUUUUGAGGGAAUUAAAUGAAGAAGAAACGUUUAGCCACCAUCUUGACAACUUUACUUUGGCUGUUCUCGGGCUGCCCUUUGCAACAUCACCGUAAUCCCCUUCACACGUAUAUAUGUUCUCCAGUUUGGACCCCACACCAAUUUCUGUGAGGUUCAGAGAGCUGUUCUGGCUCAGGAAGUUAGAGCCAGAGUGAGGGUAUGGUUCUGCCUGGAGGCAGUGUAGGAAUUAAGAGCUUAGGCUCUAGGGUCAGAGUGUUUGGUCUGGAGCAACCCCCCUCUGCCACUUAUUAGCAGUAUUGCUUUAAGCCAGGCGCU